UGUUUUUUCGUAUCGUAGGCAGGGCUCGAAGUUCCUUAGGAGAGAGAGACUCAGAAAUGGCAACACAAGCACUUGUAUCUUCUCUUACCUCUUCAGUGGAGACUGCCAGACAAAUACUACGAGCAAAACCAACCCAGUCUUCUUUUGGGUCCUCAAGGAAGAGCUCCUUUGUUGUUAGGGCAUCUUCUACUCCUCCUGUUAAGCAAGGAGCAGAUAGACAACUAUGGUUUGCUUCCAGGCAAAGUCUUUCUUACUUGGAUGGCAGUCUUCCAGGUGACUAUGGAUUUGAUCCGCUUGGUCUUUCAGACCCUGAAGGUACAGGAGGAUUCAUUGAGCCAAAAUGGUUAGCCUACGGUGAGGUCAUCAAUGGAAGAUAUGCCAUGUUGGGGGCAGUAGGUGCCAUUGCACCAGAAAUUCUUGGCAAGGCUGGUCUCAUCCCCCAAGAAACAGCCCUCCCUUGGUUCAAAACUGGUGUGAUCCCACCUGCCGGUACAUACGACUACUGGGCAGACCCAUACACACUGUU
Molecule: unclassified non-coding RNA, 526 nt
Filed under: Hevea brasiliensis (rubber tree)
Lineage: Eukaryota; Viridiplantae; Streptophyta; Magnoliopsida; Malpighiales; Euphorbiaceae
Source: RNAcentral